Non-coding RNA from Poecilia reticulata (guppy), 702 nucleotides. NCBI's taxonomy places the organism in Eukaryota, Metazoa, Chordata, Actinopteri, Cyprinodontiformes, Poeciliidae. The record is from RefSeq and is a predicted model, not a curated record.
UUCUUUUUAUAUAUUUUAUAAAAGUGACAUAGGACACCUUUAAGGCUAAGGUGAUCAGUCAUAUUUUCAUUCCUAUUUGUGUAGGAAUACACAAAUAGGAAUGAAUUUCUAUUUGUGUAGAAAUAGAAUUUCUAUUUCUAAUAGAAAUUCUAUUGUGAAGGUGUGUUUAUUGAUGAAAAAGAAAAAGUUCAUAACUCAAGGCGCUUUGUUUCUGAAAUGACAGUUUUAUUGACUUUUGAAAUGCAUGACUUGCCGCUGAAUAUGACUUAUUCUUUCAGAUUUAAAAAAAAAAUUAAUUGAUCUUCAAAGAUUCAGACCAAUGUUUUUAGACGUCUUUUUACGUUGUCUAAAGUUAACGUUAACUGACUGUCCUCUUGUCUCCUCAGUCCAUUUCUCCUGGCCUAGUUGAGACUGAAUUUGCUUAUCGUCUCCAUAGCGAAAUCCCUGACAAAGCCACUGCAACAUAUUCUCAUCUUAAGCCGUUGGAGGCGAUAGACAUUGCUAAUGCCGUGGUUUAUGUCCUGAGUGCCCCGCCUCAUGUUCAGAUUGCAGAAAUGUUGUUGCGACCUGUGGAGCAGCAGGCCUGAUGUUUAACCAUGUGAUGGCUGCAUUUCCACACCACUCACUCUUCAGAUGAUCUUCAUCUGUGAAAUUAACAAUGUUAAUCUCCAAUUAAAAGAAUAAAAGUCUGAUUUUAAGGUG